This 253-nucleotide ribosomal RNA is filed under the name uncultured bacterium. RNAcentral's name for it is "partial 16S ribosomal RNA". It matches the Rfam family "Bacterial small subunit ribosomal RNA", at positions 524 to 776 of the family's 1533-position model. The record is from RNAcentral.
UACGAAGGGGGCUAGCGUUGCUCGGAAUCACUGGGCGUAAAGCGCACGUAGGCGGCUUUUUAAGUCAGGGGUGAAAUCCUGGAGCUCAACUCCAGAACUGCCUUUGAUACUGAGAAGCUUGAGUCCGGGAGAGGUGAGUGGAACUGCGAGUGUAGAGGUGAAAUUCGUAGAUAUUCGCAAGAACACCAGUGGCGAAGGCGGCUCACUGGCCCGGUACUGACGCUGAGGCACGAAGGCCAGGGGAGCAAACGGG